CGCGGGGUGGAGCAGCCCGGUAGCUCGUCAGGCUCAUAACCUGAAGGCCGCAGGUUCAAAUCCUGCCCCCGCAACC
This 76-nucleotide transfer RNA is filed under the name Gluconobacter oxydans. RNAcentral describes it as "tRNA-Met". It matches the Rfam family "tRNA". From Rfam's summary of the family: Transfer RNA (tRNA) molecules are approximately 80 nucleotides in length. RNAcentral also lists the same sequence under 8 other names. Lineage: Bacteria; Pseudomonadati; Pseudomonadota; Alphaproteobacteria; Acetobacterales; Acetobacteraceae. The record is from RNAcentral.